CUUAUAAAUCAUGAAUAAAUAUAAAAUACACAGACCGAAACUUGAGAUUUCUCAGAGAGCUUAAUUAAGGGAUUGAUUUUAUUAUUUACACUGAAUUAGAAACACAACCAUUUCUUCCCUUCAACUAUAACCAGAGAGCAUAUUUUACAGAGGAAAUUUGAGCUGAACAUCCCAGAAGAUCAACUAGCAGCAUAUGGAGAUAAGCCUGGACAGGAGCUCUAGGCUUUACUCCACAUUCACACUCUCCAGAGAGGACACACUCAACAACACAAGUGGAACUGCAUAUGCCAUGAGUCUUAAUAAAUAAAAGAGUGGUCUAACCUCGUUUGAGAUGAUUUUUGGUUUCUCCUGGAUCUCUGGAUACAAUCAGUAAAGAAGGGUCAGCAGAAUAAAAGGACAGUGAGCUAGGGCCUAAAGACCCUAAGCAAAGAAAAAGACAUUGGAGGUGGGAGAUGCACUGGAUGGAAAAGCUGCUCAAGAUGGACGGCACUUCAGAAAGGGAAGGAGGCAAUUCCCAACAAAAAUGCUAACUGCCUGGGCCCAGGAAGCCAUGUUUAAGUCCUAAGUGUGUUUAGACCAGAGAGCCUCCAUGUCUUUUGUUUCACUUGUGUCCAUAGUCUUUUUUUUCAGUUUUCCAAGAAAUGCUACUUGAAACUAUAAAAAUAAUUCAAAUAUUUUAAGCUAAAUAUAUUCUCCUUGCUUUAGUUUCUCUUUUUUCUUAAUUUUUUGUGCCUGGAAGAAUAUAAUUAGUUCAACAUGGUUGCUUAGAGAGACAUUUUCCAGGUCCAAGAAGGCAUACUAUUAGACAUUUAUUCAAAAAUGGGCUCAGGGAAUAAGAAUCUCAAGUAAAUAAUUCAUUAUAUUUGAAAUAAAUGCAACUACAUUAUUGUACUCUUCUAAAAAAUACAAAUAAAUGCUCUUUUUGCAAAAUAUUUGUAGCAUCUGAUAUUUGUGGAAUAUUCUUAAC
RNAcentral lists this long non-coding RNA (967 nucleotides) under Heterocephalus glaber (naked mole-rat). RNAcentral's name for it is "lncRNA (ENSHGLG00000034365.1)". Lineage: Eukaryota; Metazoa; Chordata; Mammalia; Rodentia; Bathyergidae. The record is from RNAcentral.